UUAACCCAACAGAAAGUCCAUCAGCUCCCUUCUCUUUCUCUUCUGGCUCUGUGGUCAGUUGUGUUAAUGUCCCUCAGCGCCACGGGGAGUGCGGGGGCCAUGAGCCGGGCACCUGUAAUACCAGCUGCUCAGGAGGCUGAAACACGAGAAUCGCUUGAACCCGGGAGAGAGAGGCUGCAGUGAACUGAGACUGCGCCACUGCACUCCAGCCUGGGUGACAGAGCGAGCCUCCAUCCCGGUGGGUAGAUCACCUGAGGUGAAGAGUUUGAGAUCAGCCUGACCAAUAUGGUGAGACCCCGUCUCUACUGAAAAUACAAAAAUUAGCCGGGCAUAGUGGCAUGUGCCUGUAGUCCCAGCUACUCGGGAGGCUGAGGCAGGAGAAUUGCUUGAACCCGGGAGGCAGAGGUUGCAGUGAGCUGAGGUCACACCACUGCACUCUAGCAUGGGCGACAGAGCGAGACUCUGUCUCAAAAACAAAAACAGUGGAAAGGCUGCAGAAAACUCAACUGUUUUUAUUUCAUUUAUUGAUACACGCACCUUCUGCUAACACUAUCUUCAGCUUAUAAUGCGUGAGGAAGGAAUGAAAGCUAUUAGGGUGUGUCCUACCUUCCCUUUUAUUUCUGUGUCAUUAAUUUCAGCAUUAAAUGGUUGGCCAAUACAGGGAAGCAGCAUGGGAUGUUCAUGUUUCUGAGAAUGUCACUGCCUUCUUUCUGUAUUUGAAGCAAGUUCUAGUUUGAACAGAAAGCACAAAAUCUCAGAGCUGUCAGUACCUCUACUUACUCAGCUGUGGAUGCGACAUGUUAUUUUGCGCUUGUUUUGCAUCUUGCUCAACUCCCAGACAUUGUGAAUUCACCAGAACUCCAUGUUGCCGGGGCAUCACACACAAAUAUGCAAAUGACACAAAAACAUAUGGCAGGUACUCAUCUUGUAUGUAUUUCUUCAGUACAUAUGCAUGUUCCAUUGUCUCAGCAGGCUUCAGCUGCAAAACAUAAGUUCAAAAAUAAAACUGUUGGCUGGGCACAGUGGCUCACGCCUGUAAUCCUGCCCAGCACUUUGGGAGGCUGAGGCGAGUGGGCCACUUGAGGUCAGGAGUUUGAGACCAGCCUGGCCAACGUGGUGAAAUCCCAUCUCUAAUAAAAAUACAAAAUUGGCCAGGCGUGAUGGCACAUGCCUGUAAUCCCAGCUACUUGGGAGGCUGAGGCAGGAGAAUCGCUUGAACCCGGGAGGCGGAGGUUGCAGUGAGCCAAGGUCGCGCCAUUGCACUCCAGCCUGGGCAGCAAGAGCGAAACUCCGUCUCAAAUAAAUAAAUGAAUAAAUAAAAUUGUUAAGAAUUUCCAGACUGCACAAGUCAUGUGCUCAUAAAGCCAACCUUGGUUAAAAAGAGAACAUUCAGACUUUCUCUAUUAAAUAUGAUGUAGGUUUUGCAAAGAUGCCUUUUCUCAGGUUGAAGAAAUUAUCUUCUUUUCCUAGUUUGCUGAGAGGUAUUAUCUGAAUGGAUGCUGAAUUUUGUCAAAUGCUUUUUUCUGCAUUUGACAAAAUUGAGAUGAUCUUAUGGGUUUUCCUUUUCAGUAGGCUAAUGUUAAACUGCACCAAUUUUAAGAUGUUAAAACCACCCUGCAUUCCUGUGCAAAUCCCUACUUGGUCAUUAUAUAUUAUUCUUUUUAUAUAUUUCCAGGUUUUCUUUGCUAAUAUUCUGUUAAAGAUUUUUGCUUACAUGUGCAUGAGGGAUAUUCAUCUGGAGUUUUUGUUUUGUAACGUCUUUGUCUGGUUUUGAUAUCAGGGCAAUAUUGAAUUCAUAAAAUAAGUUGGGAAAUGUUCCCUCCUCUUCUACUUUCUGAUAAAAUUUAUGUGGAAUUGGUAUUAUUUCAUUUUUAAAUGUCUGAUGAAAUUCAGCACUGAAACCAUCUGAGGCUGGGGUUUCCUUUGUGGAAGGUUUUAAACCAAAAUUCAAUUUCUACAAUGGAUAUGGGGCUAUUCAACAUUGAUAGUUUGUGCCUCUCAAGUAAUUUGUCCAAUUUGUCUAAGUCGUUCAAUGUAUUGGCACAGAGUUGUUUAUGACAUCAUCUUAUGACUCUCUGAGUGUCUGUAUGAUCUGUAUUCAUGCUCACCUGCAUCCCGGUACUGGUCAUUUGUGUCCUCCCUCAUUUUCCCAAUCAUCUAGCUAGAGGAUUAUCUAUUUUACUGACCUUUUCAAAUAACCAGCUUUGGAGUCACUGAUUUGUAAUGUUUUCCCACUAAUUUUUUUUUCUGCUUCUUUCUCUGGAUCUAGUUUUUCUACUUCAAUCUAAAGGUUUAAGCUUCUAAGGUAGAAGCUUCCAUCACAGACUUUAGACCUUUCUUCUUUUUUUUUUGAGAUAGAGUCUGCUCUGUCCUCCAGGCUGGAGCGCAGUGGCACGAUCUCGGCUCACUGCAACCUCCACCUCCCAGGUUCAAGCAAUUCUCAUGCCUCAGCCUCCCAAGUAAGUGGGAUUACAGGCAUGCCACCACACCCAGCAAUUUUUUCAUAUUUUAGUAGAGAUGGGGUUUCGCCAUGUUGGCCAGGCUGGUCUCGAACUCCUGACCUCAAGGAUGCACCUGCCUUGGCCUCCCAAAGUGCUGGGAUUACAGGCAUGAGCCACUGCGCCCGGCCUAGACCUUUCUUCUUUAUUAAUACAGUAGUCUCCCUUAUCUGUGGCUUCACUUUUUGCAUUUUCAGCUACCCAAGGUCAAUCACAGUCCAAAAAUAUUAAAUGAAAAAUUUAAGAAAUAAAUAAUUCAUAAGUUUUAAAUUGAGUAGUGUGAUGAACUCUAGUACAAUUUUGCUCUGUCCCACUAGAGAUGUGAGUCAGCCCUUUGUCCAACAUAUCCCCACUAUCCAUGCUACCCACCUGUGAGUCACUUGGUAGCUGUCUCGGUUAUGAGAUUGACUGACAAGGUACUGCAGUGCUUCUGUUCAAGUAGCCCUUAUUUUACUUUAUAAUGGCACCAAAGUAUAAAAGUAGUGAUGCUAGCAAUUCAGAUAUGCCAAAGAGAAGCCAUAAAGCGUUUCCUUUAAGUGAAAAGAAAAAAUUUCUCAACCAAAGGAAAGAUCAUACGUUGAGGUGGCGAAGAUCUAGGGUAAGAGCAAAUCUUCUAUAUGUGAACUUGUGAAAAGGGAAAGAUAAAUUUGUGUGAGUUUUGCUGUUGCACUUCAGACUGCAAAAGUAACAGCUACAGUGCAUAGUAAAGGGCUUAAAGAUGAAAAAGGUAUUAAGUUUGUGGGUGGAAGACACAAACAGAAAAUGUGUACCAACUGUUAUAACUGUUCUAUUUUAUUAUCAGUUGUUGUUCAUCUCUUACUGUGCCUAAUUUAUAAGUUAAACUUUAUCAUAGAUACGUAUAUAUAGGAAAAAUAUGGUAUAUAUAGGGUUCAGAACUACUGACAGUUUUAGGCAUCCACUGGGGAUCCUGGAACAGCCCCCACGAAUAAGGGGGAACUACUGUAUAAGCAUUUAAUGCUACAAAUUAUCCUCAAAGCACUGCUUUGUCUGCGUCUGCUAAUUUCAGCAUGUUGUUUUCAUUUUCAUUUAAUUCAAUAUGUUUUCUAAGAUCUCUUGUGAUUUUUUUCCUUCCUUUAGGCAUGUGUUUCCAAAUAUUUUGGGAUUUUUAAAGAUAUAGUCUGUUACUUCUACUUCCAUCCAUUUUUGUCAGAGAAUAUACUUUAUAUGAGUUCAAUCUUUUAAAGUGUAUUGAGUCUUUUUUUUUUUUUGAGAUGGAGUCUGGCUCUGUCACCCAGGCUGGAGUGCAGUGGCGCGAUCUCGGCUCACUGCAAGCUCUGCCUCCUGGGUUCACGCCAUUCUCCUGCCUCAGCCUCCCAAGUAGCUGGGAUUACAGGCGCUUGCCACCAAGUGGGCCCGGCUAAUUUUUUGUAUUUUAGUAGAGACAGGGUUUCACUGUGUUAGCCAGGAUGGUCUCGAUCUCCUGACCUCGUGAUCCACCCGCCUCGGCCUCCCAAAGUGCUGGGAUUAUAGGCGUGAGCCACCACUCCCAGCCAAAGUGUAUUGAGUCUUGUUUUGUAACAGGUUGUGUGUCUUUGAGAACAUUUCAGUGCACUUGAAAAGAAUGUAUGUUCUCUAGUUCUUGGGUGCAGGGUUCUAUAAAUAUUCCUUUGGUACAGCUUUGUCAUUAGGUGCAUACAUAUUUAGAAUUAUGAUGUCUUUUGAUGAAUUGAUUCCUCUGUCAUUAUGAAAUGUCCCUCGCUAUCCCUGAUAAUAUUUCUUGUUCCAAAGUAUAUAUUGUCUGGUACUUAUAGCCACACCAUCUUUAUUUAUUUAUUUAUUUAUUUUGGUAGAGAUGGGGUUUUGCCAUGUUGGCCAGGCUGGUCUCGAACUCCCGGCCUCAAGUGAUCCGCCCACCUUGGCCUCCCAAAGUGCUGGGAUCACAAGUGUGAGCCACCACACCUGGCCUAUUUUUCUUUUAAUUAGGGUUUGCACAAAAUGUCUUUUUCUAUCCUUUUACUUUUAAUCUAUGUGUCUUUUUUUUUUUUUUUUUUUUGAGACUGGGCCUUGCUCUGUCAUGCAAGCUGCAGUGCAGUUGUGCAAUCACAGCUCACUGCAGCCUCAGACUCCUGGACUCAAGCCAUCCUCUUGCCUCAGCCUCCAAGGUAGCUAAGACUACCAGCGCAUACCAUCACCCCCAG
Molecule: long non-coding RNA, 4657 nt
Filed under: Homo sapiens (human)
Lineage: Eukaryota; Metazoa; Chordata; Mammalia; Primates; Hominidae
Description: non-protein coding lnc-CENPO-2:2
Source: RNAcentral